UAGUUCUAUGCUCUGUGCACUCGUGGGAC
Molecule: non-coding RNA, 29 nt
Filed under: Rattus norvegicus (Norway rat)
Lineage: Eukaryota; Metazoa; Chordata; Mammalia; Rodentia; Muridae
Source: RNAcentral